AGCAGCCGCGGUAAUUCCAGCUCCAAUAGCGUAUAUUAAAGUUGUUGCAGUUAAAAAGCUCGUAGUUGAAUUUCGGGAUCAAUAUGUCGGUCGUGCCUUCGGUACGUACUGGCAUCAUUGGUUUCUCCCUUCUGACAAACCAUGAUGUCAUUAAUUUGGUGUUAUGGGGAGUUAGGACUGUUACUUUGAAAAAAUUAGAGUGUUUAAAGCAGGCAUUAGCUUGAAUACAUUAGCAUGGAAUAAUGAAAUAGGACGUUUGACCCUAUUUUGUUGGUUUCUAGGAUCGACGUAAUGAUUAAUAGGGAUAGUUGGGGGCAUUAGUAUUCAAUUGUCAGAGGUGAAAUUCUUGGAUUUAUUGAAGACUAACUACUGCGAAAGCAUUUGCCAAGGAUGUUUUCAUUAAUCAAGAACGAAAGUUAGGGGAUCGAAGACGAUCAGAUACCGUCGUAGUCCUAACCAUAAACUAUGCCGACUAGGGAUCGGAUGAUGUUAAUUUUUUAAUGACUCA
This 508-nucleotide ribosomal RNA is filed under the name uncultured Glomus. RNAcentral's name for it is "SSU rRNA". It matches the Rfam family "Eukaryotic small subunit ribosomal RNA", at positions 569 to 1078 of the family's 1831-position model. Lineage: Eukaryota; Fungi; Glomeromycota; Glomeromycetes; Glomerales; Glomeraceae. The record is from RNAcentral.